UACGGAGGAUGCGAGCGUUAUCCGGAUUUAUUGGGCGUAAAGGGAACGCAGGCGGUCUUUUAAGUCUGAUGUGAAAGCCUUCGGCUUAACCGGAGUAGUGCAUUGGAAACUGGGAGACUUGAGUGCAGAAGAGGAGAGUGGAACUCCAUGUGUAGCGGUGAGAUGCGUAGAUAUAUGGAAGAACACCAGUGGCGAAAGCGGCUCUCUGGUCUGUAACUGACGCUGAGGUUCGAAAGCGUGGGUAGCAAACAGG
RNAcentral lists this ribosomal RNA (253 nucleotides) under uncultured bacterium. Its description in RNAcentral is "partial 16S ribosomal RNA". It matches the Rfam family "Bacterial small subunit ribosomal RNA", at positions 524 to 776 of the family's 1533-position model. The record is from RNAcentral.